This 465-nucleotide ribosomal RNA is filed under the name uncultured Klebsiella sp. RNAcentral's name for it is "bacterial SSU rRNA". It matches the Rfam family "Bacterial small subunit ribosomal RNA", at positions 338 to 795 of the family's 1533-position model. The record is from RNAcentral. Lineage: Bacteria; Pseudomonadati; Pseudomonadota; Gammaproteobacteria; Enterobacterales; Enterobacteriaceae.
CCUACGGGUGGCUGCAGUGGGGAAUAUUGCACAAUGGGCGCAAGCCUGAUGCAGCCAUGCCGCGUGUGUGAAGAAGGCCAUCGGGUUGUAAAGCACUUUCAGCGGGGAGGAAGGCGGUGAGGUUAAUAACCUCAUCGAUUGACGUUACCCGCAGAAGAAGCACCGGCUAACUCCGUGCCAGCAGCCGCGGUAAUACGGAGGGUGCAAGCGUUAAUCGGAAUUACUGGGCGUAAAGCGCACGCAGGCGGUCUGUCAAGUCGGAUGUGAAAUCCCCGGGCUCAACCUGGGAACUGCAUUCGAAACUGGCAGGCUAGAGUCUUGUAGAGGGGGGUAGAAGUCCAGGUGUAGCGGUGAAAUGCGUAGAGAGCUGGAGGAAUACCGGUGGCGAAGGCGGCCCCCUGGACAAAGACUGACGCUCAGGUGCGAAAGCGUGGGGAGCAAACAGGAUUAGAUACCCUUGUAGUC